Molecule: ribosomal RNA, 467 nt
Filed under: uncultured bacterium
Lineage: Bacteria
Description: partial 16S ribosomal RNA
Rfam family: Bacterial small subunit ribosomal RNA
Source: RNAcentral
GACGAACGCUGGCGGCGUGCUUAACACAUGCAAGUCGAACGGAAAGGCCCUGCUUUUGUGGGGUGCUCGAGUGGCGAACGGGUGAGUAACACGUGAGUAACCUGCCCUUGACUUUGGGAUAACUUCAGGAAACUGGGGCUAAUACCGGAUAGGAGCUCCUGCUGCAUGGUGGGGGUUGGAAAGUUUCGGCGGUUGGGGAUGGACUCGCGGCUUAUCAGCUUGUUGGUGGGGUAGUGGCUUACCAAGGCUUUGACGGGUAGCCGGCCUGAGUGGGUGACCGGCCACAUUGGGACUGAGAUACGGCCCAGACUCCUACGGGAGGCAGCAGUGGGGAAUAUUGCACAAUGGGCGGAAGCCUGAUGCAGCAACGCCGCGUGCGGGAUGACGGCCUUCGGGUUGUAAACCGCUUUCGCCUGUGACGAAGCGUGAGUGACGGUAAUGGGUAAAGAAGCACCGGCUAACUACGU